UCCGUGUUAACCACGGCAGUCUCCUUAGAGAGCCCAACUGAAUGCUGGCAACUAAGGACAAGGGUUGCGCUCGUUGCGGGACUUAACCCAACAUGUCACCACACGAGCUGACGACAGCCAUGCAGCACCUGUCUUCCGGUCGUAUUGCUACGAACUCCCUAUCUCUAGGGAUAGCCGGAGAUGUCAAAUCCAGGUAAGGUUCUUCGCGUUGCUUCGAAUUAAACCACAUGAUCCACCGCUAGUGCGGGCCCCCGUCAAUUCCUUUGAGUUUUAGUCUUGCGACCGUACUUCCCAGGCGGGGUACUUAUUGCGUUAGCUCCGACUCGGCAGGGGUCAAAUCCCACCAAGUCUAGUACCCAUCGUUUACAGCGUGGACUAC
Molecule: unclassified non-coding RNA, 379 nt
Filed under: uncultured Oligoflexales bacterium
Lineage: Bacteria; Pseudomonadati; Bdellovibrionota; Oligoflexia; Oligoflexales
Description: contains 16S-23S intergenic spacer region
Source: RNAcentral